CCUACGGGGGGCAGCAGUGGGGAAUAUUGGACAAUGGGCGCAAGCCUGAUCCAGCCAUGCCGCGUGAGUGAUGAAGGCCCUAGGGUUGUAAAGCUCUUUUGUUCGGGAAGAUAAUGACGGUACCGCAAGAAUAAGCCCCGGCUAACUUCGUGCCAGCAGCCGCGGUAAUACGAAGGGGGCUAGCGUUGCUCGGAAUCACUGGGCGUAAAGCGCACGUAGGCGGGUUCUUAAGUCAGAGGUGAAAUCCUGGAGCUCAACUCCAGAACUGCCUUUGAUACUGGGAGUCUAGAGUUCGGGAGAGGUGAGUGGAACUGCGAGUGUAGAGGUGAAAUUCGUAGAUAUUCGCAAGAACACCAGUGGCGAAGGCGGCUCACUGGCCCGAUACUGACGCUGAGGUGCGAAAGCGUGGGGAGCAAACAGGCUUAGAUACCCCGGUAGUC
RNAcentral lists this ribosomal RNA (440 nucleotides) under uncultured Rhodoplanes sp. RNAcentral describes it as "bacterial SSU rRNA". It matches the Rfam family "Bacterial small subunit ribosomal RNA", at positions 338 to 795 of the family's 1533-position model. Lineage: Bacteria; Pseudomonadati; Pseudomonadota; Alphaproteobacteria; Hyphomicrobiales; Nitrobacteraceae. The record is from RNAcentral.